AUAAUAAUAGUUUGUUUAUAUGCCACCCAUCUGACUGGAUUGCCCCAGUCAUUCUGGGCGGCUCCCAACAAAAAAAUAAGUAAAAACACAAUUAAGUAAAAUAAGUAAAAAAACCACGACUUCAAACACUUAAAACUUCCCUGAACAAAGCAGCCUUCAGGUGUCUUUUAAAAAUCACAUAGCUGUUUAUCUGUUUGACAUCUGCUGGGAGGGUGCCACUACCGAGAAGGCCCUCCGUCUGGUUCCCUGUAACCUCACUUUUCGCAAUGAGGGAACCACCAGAAGGCCCUCAUAGCUGCUUCUCAGUGUCCGGGCUGAACGGUGGGGGUGGAGAUGCUCCUUACUAGAUUUUGGAGAAUACAAGCCACUCUUCAGAAAGGAAGGUUUUGGGUUUUGCACAUUUUGGUAUUUUGUAUCGUCUUCUUAUUCUAGUGUGUCACUUCACUAGCAGGAGCUACAGAAAAAUGCAAGUGUAGCCAUUUCAGGGCAUCACCUGAAGCUUUACAUUCAACCUCCCCAAUAAAUAGCUGCAUUUACCAAACAAGAUGGCAAAUACGAUGAAGACUUGCUUGCCUGUUGUCAGCACUUGAAGGCUCUCCAUUCUGAUUUCUGCCAAUGAUUUGAAGAUAUGCUUAAAAUGAACAUCCCCGAUCUGGUUUUGCACCCUUUUUCAAGUAUGAACACAGAAGAAUCUCAAAAUUUACAAGAAGAACUGAUAGAAGUAAGAACAAAUGAGUUCUGGCUGAAAUAGCAGAUACCUGCACUUUAUCCUGGAUUACGGGUUAUAAUACAAAAGUUUUUAAUUGCAUUUCCUUCAUCGUAUUUAGUGGAUUGUGAGUUCAGUGCGGUCACAGAUCUGUUAACUAAAAAAAGAAACCGACUGCAGAUAGCUAACCAUGCUGAUUUAAGAAUGCUGCUGACAAACAUUGAUAAAUUGAUAGCAGUGCACCAGGCUCAUCCUUCUCAUUGGGAUUAUUUUUUGAUGUUGUUCAUGAUUUUUAUUUUAAUAUUUUCCUUCGUUAUCCUAAUUUUCUGUGUGUAAUGCAAAUGUUACCACGGCUGAUUUUAAGAAGUAAUUGUAUAAUUUCCAGCUUCAAGGUGUCUUAUUUACAACAUCAUCUUCCUUUGCUAUGUUGGAGGACGUCAGUAGAAAUAUAGAUACAUGAAAGAACGCAAAUUUGCCACUGCAUCUUUCUUUGUUUGCUUAAAGAAGGUAGAUUUUCUGAAAAAGGGGUGGGGUAGGCCAAAUAAGUGUGGGAACCUGCCUCUUCACAACAUUGCUUCUCAAGAUGAUCCAGAAACUGCAGUUGGUUCAAAAUAUUGCUACAAUAUUUAGAUAAACAUAGGUGAUUAGACAACCAUUUCAAAACGCAUCCAUGCAAUGGAAUUUUGAGCCGUAUCCAUAAUGCAGUCAACAGAAAUGACAGUCUCACAUGAAAACAAAGGAUCAUCUCAAAAGGAGAGGUGAAAUGAGGGGAAAUUGUCAUAUAAUCAUUUGUUUCGGGCAAUCACCUUUCUUUCUUGGUGCAUCGCAAACUAACGCAAUGUAUUUCUAUAUUUUGCAGUGCUAUUUCUGGAAGCCAGUGUGUGGCCUCAGAUAAUGUAUUUGAAUAGUGAGUGAGAGAAUGGAGAUGCCAUUUGUCUUGGGGUUUCAAUUCCUCUCUGACUCAAGCAAUUAUAUCUUCAUACCUGUGUUAACUUCAUCUGCCACUGAGUCUGUUGUCGAAAUUACUUGCAGAUUUCAGCUGCGAGGAUGUUGGACGGUCAUUGUUUAGAUGUUAGCCAGCAAGCCUGGGAAAUUUAAUGACUGUCAAAAGUGGUGAGCCCCAGCAAAGAAACUCGAACUUCUUUUUGGGAGACCUCCCACGCUGAGCUGUGU
Molecule: long non-coding RNA, 1879 nt
Filed under: Podarcis lilfordi (Lilford's wall lizard)
Lineage: Eukaryota; Metazoa; Chordata; Lepidosauria; Squamata; Lacertidae
Source: RNAcentral